RNAcentral lists this ribosomal RNA (433 nucleotides) under uncultured bacterium. RNAcentral describes it as "partial 16S ribosomal RNA". It matches the Rfam family "Bacterial small subunit ribosomal RNA", at positions 29 to 507 of the family's 1533-position model. The record is from RNAcentral.
AGCGAACGCUGGCGGCAGGCUUAACACAUGCAAGUCGAGCGGGCACUUCGGUGUCAGCGGCAGACGGGUGAGUAACACGUGGGAACGUACCCUUCGGUUCGGAAUAACGCUGGGAAACUAGCGCUAAUACCGGAUACGCCCUUUUGGGGAAAGGUUUACUGCCGAAGGAUCGGCCCGCGUCUGAUUAGCUAGUUGGUGGGGUAAUGGCCUACCAAGGCGACGAUCAGUAGCUGGUCUGAGAGGAUGAUCAGCCACACUGGGACUGAGACACGGCCCAGACUCCUACGGGAGGCAGCAGUGGGGAAUAUUGGACAAUGGGCGCAAGCCUGAUCCAGCCAUGCCGCGUGAGUGAUGAAGGCCUUAGGGUUGUAAAGCUCUUUUGUCCGGGACGAUAAUGACGGUACCGGAAGAAUAAGCCCCGGCUAACUUCGCG